AGGCGGGGCGGGUGCUAUACAUGCAAGUCGAGCGGACAGAUGGGAGCUUGCUCCCUGAUGUUAGCGGCGGACGGGUGAGUAACACGUGGGUAACCUGCCUGUAAGACUGGGAUAACUCCGGGAAACCGGGGCUAAUACCGGAUGGUUGUUUGAACCGCAUGGUUCAAACAUAAAAGGUGGCUUCGGCUACCACUUACAGAUGGACCCGCGGCGCAUUAGCUAGUUGGUGAGGUAACGGCUCACCAAGGCAACGAUGCGUAGCCGACCUGAGAGGGUGAUCGGCCACACUGGGACUGAGACACGGCCCAGACUCCUACGGGAGGCAGCAGUAGGGAAUCUUCCGCAAUGGACGAAAGUCUGACGGAGCAACGCCGCGUGAGUGAUGAAGGUUUUCGGAUCGUAAAGCUCUGUUGUUAGGGAAGAACAAGUACCGUUCGAAUAGGGCGGUACCUUGACGGUACCUAACCAGAAAGCCACGGCUAACUACGUGCCAGCAGCCGCGGUAAUACGUAGGUGGCAAGCGUUGUCCGGAAUUAUUGGGCGUAAAGGGCUCGCAGGCGGUUUCUUAAGUCUGAUGUG
Molecule: ribosomal RNA, 579 nt
Filed under: Bacillus subtilis
Lineage: Bacteria; Bacillati; Bacillota; Bacilli; Caryophanales; Bacillaceae
Description: bacterial SSU rRNA
Rfam family: Bacterial small subunit ribosomal RNA
Source: RNAcentral